AGCGGAGUUGAUGAGGUGCUUGCACCUCUGAUGCUUAGCGGCGGGCGGGUGAGUAACACGUGGGUAACCUGCCUGUAAGACUGGGAUAACAUUCGGAAACGAAUGCUAAUACCGGAUACGCGAUAUGGUCGCAUGACUGAAUCGGGAAAGAUGGAGCAAUCUAUCACUUACAGAUGGACCCGCGGCGCAUUAGCUAGUUGGUGAGGUAACGGCUCACCAAGGCGACGAUGCGUAGCCGACCUGAGAGGGUGAUCGGCCACACUGGGACUGAGACACGGCCCAGACUCCUACGGGAGGCAGCAGUAGGGAAUCUUCCGCAAUGGACGAAAGUCUGACGGAGCAACGCCGCGUGAGUGAUGAAGGUUUUCGGAUCGUAAAGCUCUGUUGCCAGGGAAGAAUGCUCGGGAGAGUAACUGCUCCCAAGGCGACGGUACCUGAGAAGAAAGCCCCGGCUAACUACGUGCCAGCAGCCGCGGUAAUACGUAGGGGGCAAGCGUUGUCCGGAAUUAUUGGGCGUAAAGCGCGCGCAGGCGGCCUUGUAAGUCUGUUGUUUAAACUUGGGGCACAACCCCAAGUCGCAAGGGAAACUGCAAAGCUUGAGUACAGAAGAGGAAAGUGGAAUUCCACGUGUAGCGGUGAAAUGCGUAGAGAUGU
This 654-nucleotide ribosomal RNA is filed under the name uncultured bacterium. Its description in RNAcentral is "bacterial SSU rRNA". It matches the Rfam family "Bacterial small subunit ribosomal RNA", at positions 60 to 699 of the family's 1533-position model. The record is from RNAcentral.